AUUGAACGCUGGCGGCAUGCUUUACACAUGCAAGUCGAACGGCAGCGCGGGCUUCGGCCUGGCGGCGAGUGGCGAACGGGUGAGUAAUACAUCGGAACGUGCCCAGUAGUGGGGGAUAGCUCGGCGAAAGCCGGAUUAAUACCGCAUACGACCUGAGGGUGAAAGCGGGGGAUCUUCUGACCUCGCGCUAUUUGAGCGGCCGAUGGCAGAUUAGCUAGUUGGUGGGGUAAAGGCCUACCAAGGCGACGAUCUGUAGCUGGUCUGAGAGGACGACCAGCCACACUGGGACUGAGACACGGCCCAGACUCCUACGGGAGGCAGCAGUGGGGAAUUUUGGACAAUGGGCGAAAGCCUGAUCCAGCAAUGCCGCGUGUGUGAUGAAGGCCUUCGGGUUGUAAAGCACUUUUGGCGGGAACGAAAAGGACUGUGCCAAUACCACGGUUCGAUGACGGUACCCGCAGAAUAAGCACCGGCUAACUACGUG
RNAcentral lists this ribosomal RNA (484 nucleotides) under uncultured bacterium. Its description in RNAcentral is "partial 16S ribosomal RNA". It matches the Rfam family "Bacterial small subunit ribosomal RNA", at positions 30 to 507 of the family's 1533-position model. The record is from RNAcentral.